Molecule: ribosomal RNA, 460 nt
Filed under: uncultured bacterium
Lineage: Bacteria
Description: partial 16S ribosomal RNA
Rfam family: Bacterial small subunit ribosomal RNA
Source: RNAcentral
CCUACGGGAGGCAGCAGUGAGGAAUAUUGGUCAAUGGACGAAAGUCUGAACCAGCCAUGCCGCGUGCAGGAAGACGGCUCUCUGAUUUGUAAACUGCUUUUGUACAAGGGAAAACCUGAAUACGUGUAUUCAGCUGCAAGUACUGUACGAAUACAGCUCGGCUAACUCCGUGCCAGCAGCCGCGGUAAUACGGAGGAGCCAAGCGUUGUCCGGAUUUAUUGGGUGUAAAGGGUGAGUAGGCGGUUUGAUAAGUUAGAGGGGAAAUGUCCGGGCUCAACCCGGGAACUGCAUCUGAUACUGGGGAUCUAGAGAGCAGAAGAGGUAGGCGGAAUGCAUGGUGUAGCGGUGAAAUGCGUAGAGAUCAGACAGAACACCGAUUGCGAAGGCAGCUUACCAAUCUAUAUCUGACGUUGAGGCACGAAAGCGUGGGGAGCAAACAGGAUUAGAUACCCUUGUAGUC